UACAGAGGGGGCAAGCGUUGUUCGGAAUUACUGGGCGUAAAGGGCGCGUAGGCGGCCUUCUAAGUCGAACGUGAAAUCCCCGGGCUCAACCCGGGAACUGCGUCCGAUACUGGAAGGCUUGAAUCCGGGAGAGGGAUGCGGAAUUCCAGGUGUAGCGGUGAAAUGCGUAGAUAUCUGGAAGGAACACCGGUGGCGAAGGCGGCAUCCUGGACCGGUAUUGACGCUGAGGAGCGAAAGCUAGGGAGCAAACGGG
This 253-nucleotide ribosomal RNA is filed under the name uncultured bacterium. RNAcentral describes it as "partial 16S ribosomal RNA". It matches the Rfam family "Bacterial small subunit ribosomal RNA", at positions 524 to 776 of the family's 1533-position model. The record is from RNAcentral.